UUGCACGCUGGCGGCCGGCCUCACACAUGCAAGUCGCACGGUAACAGGAAGCAGCUUGCUGCUUUGCUGACGAGUGGCGGACGGGUGAGUAAUGUCUGGGAAACUGCCUGAUGGAGGGGGAUAACUACUGGAAACGGUAGCUAAUACCGCAUAACGUCGCAAGACCAAAGAGGGGGACCUUCGGGCCUCUUGCCAUCGGAUGUGCCCAGAUGGGAUUAGCUAGUAGAUGGGGUAACGGCUCACCUAGGCGACGAUCCCUAGCUGGUCUGAGAGGAUGACCAGCCACACUGGAACUGAGACACGGUCCAGACUCCUACGGGAGGCAGCAGUGGGGAAUAUUGCACAAUGGGCGCAAGCCUGAUGCAGCCAUGCCGCGUGUAUGAAGAAGGCCUUCGGGUUGUAAAGUACUUUCAGCGGGGAGGAAGGGAGUAAAGUUAAUACCUUUGCUCAUUGACGUUACCCGCAGAAGAAGCACCGGCUAACUCCGUG
RNAcentral lists this ribosomal RNA (489 nucleotides) under uncultured bacterium. RNAcentral describes it as "partial 16S ribosomal RNA". It matches the Rfam family "Bacterial small subunit ribosomal RNA", at positions 30 to 507 of the family's 1533-position model. The record is from RNAcentral.